RNAcentral lists this ribosomal RNA (560 nucleotides) under uncultured Alphaproteobacteria bacterium. RNAcentral describes it as "bacterial SSU rRNA". It matches the Rfam family "Bacterial small subunit ribosomal RNA", at positions 338 to 916 of the family's 1533-position model. Lineage: Bacteria; Pseudomonadati; Pseudomonadota; Alphaproteobacteria. The record is from RNAcentral.
CCUACGGGAGGCAGCAGUGGGGAAUAUUGGACAAUGGGGGAAACCCUGAUCCAGCCAUGCCGCGUGAGUGAAGAAGGCCCUAGGGUUGUAAAGCUCUUUCAGCGGGGAAGAUGAUGACGGUACCCGCAGAAGAAGCCCCGGCUAACUCCGUGCCAGCAGCCGCGGUAAUACGGAGGGGGCUAGCGUUGCUCGGAAUUACUGGGCGUAAAGGGCGUGUAGGCGGACUAAUCAGUCAGGCGUGAAAGCCCCGGGCUUAACCUGGGAACUGCGCUUGAUACCAUUAGUCUAGAGUUCGGGAGAGGAUGGUGGAAUUCCCAGUGUAGAGGUGAAAUUCGUAGAUAUUGGGAAGAACACCAGUGGCGAAGGCGGCCAUCUGGACCGAUACUGACGCUGAGGCGCGAAAGCGUGGGGAGCAAACAGGAUUAGAUACCCUGGUAGUCCACGCCGUAAACGAUGUGUGCUAGAUGUCGGGCAGCUUGCUGUUCGGUGUCGCAGCUAACGCAUUAAGCACACCGCCUGGGGAGUACGACCGCAAGGUUAAAACUCAAAUGAAUUGACGG